UAUGGCUCAAAUAGUAGAGCACCUGCCUAACAAGCAUUAGGCCCUGAGUUCAAACCUCAGUA
This 62-nucleotide transfer RNA is filed under the name Dipodomys ordii (Ord's kangaroo rat). It matches the Rfam family "tRNA", at positions 6 to 65 of the family's 71-position model. Rfam says of the family: Transfer RNA (tRNA) molecules are approximately 80 nucleotides in length. The record is from Rfam by way of RNAcentral. Lineage: Eukaryota; Metazoa; Chordata; Mammalia; Rodentia; Heteromyidae.